Molecule: ribosomal RNA, 1493 nt
Filed under: uncultured Bordetella sp.
Lineage: Bacteria; Pseudomonadati; Pseudomonadota; Betaproteobacteria; Burkholderiales; Alcaligenaceae
Description: partial 16S-23S ribosomal RNA intergenic spacer
Rfam family: Bacterial small subunit ribosomal RNA
Source: RNAcentral
GUUCGAUUAUGGCUCAGAUUGAACGCUGGCGGGAUGCUUUACACAUGCAAGUCGAACGGCAGCACGGACUUCGGUCUGGUGGCGAGUGGCGAACGGGUGAGUAAUGUAUCGAACGUGCCUGGCGGGGGAUAACUACGCGAAAGCGUAGCUAAUACCGCAUACGCCCUUCGGGGAAAGCGGGGGACCUUCGGGCCUCGCACUAUUAGAGCGGCCGAUAUCGGAUUAGCUAGUUGGUGGGGUAACGGCUCACCAAGGCGACGAUCCGUAGCUGGUUUGAGAGAGGACGACCAGCCACACUGGGACUGAGACACGGCCCGAACUCCUACGGGGAGGCAGCAGUGGGGGAAUUUUGGACAAUGGGAAACCCUGCGAUCCAGCCAUCCCGCGUGUGCGAUGAAGGCCUUCGGGUUGUAAAGCACUUUUGGCAGGAAAGAAACGGCACGGGAUAAUGCCCCGUGCAACUGACCACCUGCAGGUAAGCACCGGCUAACUACGUGCCAGCAGCCGCGGUAAUACGUAGGGUGCAAGCGUUAAUCGGAAUUACUGGGCGUAAAGCGUGCGCAGGCGGUUCCGGAAAGAAAGAUGUGAAAUCCAGAGCUUAACUUUGGAACUGCAUUUUUAACUACCGAGCUAGAGUGUGUCAGGGAGGUGGAAUUCCGCGUGUAGCAGUGAAAUGCGUAGAUAUGCGGAGGAACACCGAUAGCGAAGGCAGCCUCCUGGGAUAACACUGACGCUCAUGCACGAAAGCAUUGGGAGCAAACGGAUUAGAUACCCUGGUAGUCCACGCCCUAAACGAUGUCAACUAGCUGUUGGGCCUUCGGGCCUUGGUAGCAGCUAACGCGUGAAAUUGGUAGCCACCGCCACCACCAGAGGCCACGGUCCUGCGAGAAUUAAAACUCAAAGAUUGACGGGACGCACAAGCAGUGGAUGAUGUGGAUUAAUUCGAUGCAACGCGAAAAACCUUACCUACCCUUGACAUGUCUGGAAUCCGAAGAUUUGGGAGUGCUCGCAAGAGAACCGGAACACAGGUGCUGCAUGGCUGUCGUCAGCUCGUGUCGUGAGAUGUUAGGUUAAGUCCCGCAACGAGCGCAACCCUUGCUGUCAUUAGUUGCUACGAAAGGGCACUCUAUUGAGACUGCCGGUGAUGUAAACCGGAGGAAGGUGGGGAUGACCCGUCAAGUCCUCAUGGCCCUUAUGGUGGGGCUUCACACGUCAUACAAUGGUCGGGACAGAGGGUCGCCAACCCGCGAGAGAGCCAAUCCCAGAAGCCGAAUCGUAGUCCGGAUCAUGAUCUGCAACUCGACUGCGUGAAGUCGGAAUCGCUAGUAAUGCAUAGGAUCAGCAUGUCGCGGUGAAUACGUUCCCGGGUCUUGUACACACCCACGCCCGUCACACCAUGGGAGUGGGUUUUACCGAAGUAGUUAACAGCUCUAACCGUAAGGAGGGCGAUUACCACGAUAAGUUCAUGACUGGGGUGAAGUCGUAACAGGUAG